UCUAUUUGUGAUUUGUGGCUAUUUGUGGAGAACUAAAACUAUUUGUGGACUAUUUGUCUAUUUGUGGACUAUUUGUCAUUUGUGGACUUGUGGCUGGCUGGGCGCUUGGGCCUUGGGCAGCCAGCAUUUGUAUAUGUGGUGGACAUGUGGACUAUUUGUCUAUUUGUGGACUUGUUGUUGUAAUGUUGUGGUUACUUGGUAUGCUAUUGCUAUUUGGAACGUGUCAAUGUCAUCCUGGUAUAUGAUCCCAGUUCCCGCUCGUUUCUGUUUUAUUACAGCCCAUAUUUGUUCAUUUCUGUAUACUAGUUUAUCCCGCUUCCCGUACCGUUUCCGGCUAUCCCGCUCCCGUUAUCGUUAUCGGUGAAAAAAAAUAUGGUACGGAACACAGUUAAGAGAUUUUCCCACCUAUUCCCG
This 414-nucleotide long non-coding RNA is filed under the name Setaria viridis. RNAcentral describes it as "long non-coding RNA (SVIR_LNC007258)". The record is from RNAcentral. Lineage: Eukaryota; Viridiplantae; Streptophyta; Magnoliopsida; Poales; Poaceae.